This 74-nucleotide transfer RNA is filed under the name Enterobius vermicularis (human pinworm). It matches the Rfam family "tRNA". Rfam says of the family: Transfer RNA (tRNA) molecules are approximately 80 nucleotides in length. Their secondary structure includes four short double-helical elements and three loops (D, anti-codon, and T loops). The record is from Rfam by way of RNAcentral. Lineage: Eukaryota; Metazoa; Nematoda; Chromadorea; Rhabditida; Oxyuridae.
GCCCGUCUAGCUCAGUCGGUAGAGCAUCAGACUUUUAAUCUGAGGGUCGUUGGGUCCAAGUUCCACUUUGGGCG